Gallus gallus (chicken) is the source of this 1354-nucleotide long non-coding RNA. The record is from Ensembl. Lineage: Eukaryota; Metazoa; Chordata; Aves; Galliformes; Phasianidae.
GUGUUUUCCUGGGGGAGAAGGUGGAGAUUCUGCUCUGAUUACAUGUGUUAAAGAAGAAAAAGAGAGAUGUUGGUGGAGAUGACUGCAGAGUGGGCUUGUCCUCAGCACUUUCCUACAGCAUCCUUGUUCGUGGAGGCUACUGAAGAACUGGCAUGGGACCAAUUUGCGUGACUGCAUCUCAGCAGCAGCAUUCUGACCUCUGGUUUUAUCAUAUCCAUCACGAGUAGACUGGAGAAUCCUGUCUUGGUAUGAGAGCUGCUCUGGAAGUAAUUCCUCCUGUGUUGGCCCAUGACAAUAAAGGCAGCUGUUGGUGCUAUGUCAAUAGAGGAUGAACCUUGCUGCCAAUAUUCCAUUCCAUGUUGUUGCCAUGUGACAGAUGGCAGCAAAGGGGAAGUCCGACAGAAUGGUGUCUGACAUUUUGCAUAUAAAGCAAAGAGGUGCCUCUGAAUUCCUCCAUGUGGAAAACAGUGGAACAGUGGGUCAUCUCCACUUAUGUGGAUUUUUACAAGUACAGCAUGUAUGCUCUUGUUCAUUGCUGGCAGUAAUGUAUAUCUAGUGGUGGUGACUGCAUUGGAAAAUAGCAUUUUGUAGCUGAGAAUUUGUUCUAUCAAAUGGCGUUAUUGUAUCUGUUGUAGUUUCCAUGGAAAUAAUAGGAAGCUUUACUUUUGGAGUGACGUAUAUGUUUAGUUAAGUGUUACCAGGAAUUUUUUCACUUUAUUUGCAGGCGUAGUGGCUGUUGUAUAUGGCAUCCUUUUGAAUAAUGAUUGAAACGGGACAGUAACCAUUCAGAGUUUAUUGCACAUCAGAGCAAAGCUAUACUCUGUUCACUUCCCAAUUAUUCUCCUGUCAGAAAGAGAGCAAAGGGAGACAGGAAGAAUGGUUCACUUGUCUACCUGUGCAAUCUGUGGUUGAUGGGCCUCUGAAUUGGUGAGAAGUGCUGUGUUUUCCGAGUGCCAACAGGUGAAGUUUGCAAGGAGGGGUGUAUUUAUUUUGUAAAACUCAUGCUACAGUAUGCUGAGAGCACUUUCUGGGGAAAUUUAAUAAAGCUGAUUAUGAAUGAGAAGAUAGAAGCUGAUUUCAUAAACUAUCCACUGCUAUGUUUUCUUUUCCUCUGUAGCUUACAGCUUUCUUCUUGUUGAUAGGCCUGCUCUGUAAUGUAUGGCCUGUAUUAGAUUUAAAAUGUAUGUAUUGUUCACGCUUUAUAUCACUGAAGCUUUCUUGCUCAGCAGUCUUGAUGCAGUGUGUAGAGAGAAUGAGAACUGGAGUGUGACUGGAUUUUUAUCCAAGAAAUUGGGGGGGUUAGGAGAAUACAGCACACUCUGCUCUUGGAUGCUGCUGUUUCCGAGGCUCUUUU